RNAcentral lists this ribosomal RNA (434 nucleotides) under uncultured bacterium. RNAcentral's name for it is "partial 16S ribosomal RNA". It matches the Rfam family "Bacterial small subunit ribosomal RNA", at positions 29 to 507 of the family's 1533-position model. The record is from RNAcentral.
AGCGAACGCUGGCGGCAGGCCUAACACAUGCAAGUCGAACGAACCUUUCGGGGUUAGUGGCGGACGGGUGAGGAACACGUGGGAACGUGCCUUUAGGUUCGGAAUAACUCAGGGAAACUUGUGCUAAUACCGAAUGUGCCCUUCGGGGGAAAGAGUUAUCGCCUUUAGAGCGGCCCGCGUCUGAUUAGCUAGUUGGUUGAGGUAAUGGCUCACCAAGGCGACGAUCAGUAGCUGGUCUGAGAGGAUGAUCAGCCACAUUGGGACUGAGACACGGCCCAAACUCCUACGGGAGGCAGCAGUGGGGAAUAUUGCGCAAUGGGCGAAAGCCUGACGCAGCCAUGCCGGGUGAAUGAUGAAGGUCUUAGGAUUGUAAAAUUCUUUCACCGGGGACGAUAAUGACGGUACCCGGAGAAGAAGCCCCGGCUAACUUCGUG